CGAUACCACACCAAACUUUUUGUUACCAACAAACCAUCUAUCAUUGCUCCACACUCGGUAUAGUAUGGUCCCUUUUUGUAGAUGGCCCCCCCACUGAUGAAUUCUUAAAAAAUGCCCUGUCACAAACGGUGCUUUCUUUUGUAUCGUCGCAGUGCGUAUAUUUUCAAUUUUUCGAAUUUCAAUACAUAUUUUUAUUAUUCAAACUAAGGCCUGGUUUGUUGCUUAGCAACUGAAGGCCUGGUUGCAAGGCAAAACGUAAAAUAUUUGCAAAAUAUUCGCAUGCCACAUGUAUAUUUAAAUUCAGGAAUCGAAGCACGAAUAUUGGCGAUUUUCAAAAUCUUUAGUCAUUUAAAACAAUGUUUAAAAUAUUGAGUUUGGCUUCUCAUUCUGACAGUGAAGAACAAGAUAUGCCAAAUGGCCCGAAUGCUGUAACAGCUUCACCAGUAUCGCGUAUAGAUGUAGGCUCAUUGUUUGAUUCAGAUUCUUCAGAGUCAGACUCAGAAUUUUAUGGAUUUGAGUUUUAAUUGCAUCAUGAAAAAG
Molecule: non-coding RNA, 540 nt
Organism: Paramuricea clavata
Lineage: Eukaryota; Metazoa; Cnidaria; Anthozoa; Malacalcyonacea; Plexauridae
Source: the annotation of a GenBank genome assembly